UAGUCCAUGCCGUAAACGUUGGGCACUAGGUGUGGGGGACAUUCCACGUUUUCCGCGCCGUAGCUAACGCAUUAAGUGCCCCGCCUGGGGAGUACGGCCGCAAGGCUAAAACUCAAAGGAAUUGACGGGGGCCCGCACAAGCGGCGGAGCAUGCGGAUUAAUUCGAUGCAACGCGAAGAACCUUACCAAGGCUUGACAUACACCAGACCGGCCCAGAGAUGGGUUUUCCUCUUUGAGGUUGGUGUACAGGUGGUGCAUGGUUGUCGUCAGCUCGUGUCGUGAGAUGUUGGGUUAAGUCCCGCAACGAGCGCAACCCUCGUUCUAUGUUGCCAGCACGUGAUGGUGGGGACUCAUAGGAGACUGCCGGGGUCAACUCGGAGGAAGGUGGGGAUGACGUCAAAUCAUCAUGCCCCUUAUGUCUUGGGGCUUCACGCAUGCUACAAUGGCCGGUACAAUGGGGUUG
RNAcentral lists this ribosomal RNA (463 nucleotides) under uncultured bacterium. RNAcentral's name for it is "bacterial SSU rRNA". It matches the Rfam family "Bacterial small subunit ribosomal RNA", at positions 791 to 1250 of the family's 1533-position model. The record is from RNAcentral.